CAGUCGCCACGGUAAUACGGAGGGUGCAAGCGUUAAUCGGAAUUACUGGGCGUAAAGCGCACGCAGGCGGUCUGACAAGUCAGAUGUGAAAUCCCCGGGCUUAACCUGGGAACUGCAUUUGAAACUGUCAGGCUGGAGUCUUGUAGAGGGGGGUAGAAUUCCAGGUGUAGCGGUGAAAUGCGUAGAGAUCUGGAGGAAUACCGGUGGCGAAGGCGGCCCCCUGGACAAAGACUGACGCUCAGGUGCGAAAGCGUGGGGAGCAAACAGGAUUAGAUACCCCGGUAGUCCCUGUCUCUUAUAA
This 301-nucleotide ribosomal RNA is filed under the name uncultured bacterium. RNAcentral describes it as "partial 16S ribosomal RNA". It matches the Rfam family "Bacterial small subunit ribosomal RNA", at positions 509 to 809 of the family's 1533-position model. The record is from RNAcentral.